Molecule: small RNA, 28 nt
Filed under: Bombyx mori (domestic silkworm)
Lineage: Eukaryota; Metazoa; Arthropoda; Insecta; Lepidoptera; Bombycidae
Description: ovarian small RNA-9925
Source: RNAcentral
AAACAUGUUCUUGAGUUGAAACUGUGAA